Molecule: ribosomal RNA, 536 nt
Filed under: Bifidobacterium pseudocatenulatum
Lineage: Bacteria; Bacillati; Actinomycetota; Actinomycetes; Bifidobacteriales; Bifidobacteriaceae
Description: bacterial SSU rRNA
Rfam family: Bacterial small subunit ribosomal RNA
Source: RNAcentral
GUAAUGCCGGAUGCUCCGACUCCUCGCAUGGGGUGUCGGGAAAGAUUUCAUCGGUAUGGGAUGGGGUCGCGUCCUAUCAGGUAGUCGGCGGGGUAACGGCCCACCGAGCCUACGACGGGUAGCCGGCCUGAGAGGGCGACCGGCCACAUUGGGACUGAGAUACGGCCCAGACUCCUACGGGAGGCAGCAGUGGGGAAUAUUGCACAAUGGGCGCAAGCCUGAUGCAGCGACGCCGCGUGCGGGAUGACGGCCUUCGGGUUGUAAACCGCUUUUGAUCGGGAGCAAGCCUUCGGGUGAGUGUACCUUUCGAAUAAGCACCGGCUAACUACGUGCCAGCAGCCGCGGUAAUACGUAGGGUGCAAGCGUUAUCCGGAAUUAUUGGGCGUAAAGGGCUCGUAGGCGGUUCGUCGCGUCCGGUGUGAAAGUCCAUCGCUUAACGGUGGAUCUGCGCCGGGUACGGGCGGGCUGGAGUGCGGUAGGGGAGACUGGAAUUCCCGGUGUAACGGUGGAAUGUGUAGAUAUCGGAAAAGAACACC